This 367-nucleotide ribosomal RNA is filed under the name uncultured organism. RNAcentral describes it as "bacterial SSU rRNA". It matches the Rfam family "Bacterial small subunit ribosomal RNA", at positions 526 to 896 of the family's 1533-position model. The record is from RNAcentral.
CGGAGGAUCCGAGCGUUAUCCGGAUUUAUUGGGUUAAAGGGUGCGUAGGCGGCCUGUUAAGUCAGGGGUGAAAGACGGUAGCUCAACUAUCGCAGUGCCCUUGAUACUGAUGGGCUUGAAUGUACUAGAGGUAGGCGGAAUGUGACAAGUAGCGGUGAAAUGCAUAGAUAUGUCACAGAACACCAAUUGCGAAGGCAGCUUACUAUGGUAUUAUUGACGCUGAGGCACGAAAGCGUGGGGAUCAAACAGGAUUAGAUACCCUGGUAGUCCACGCCCUAAACGAUGAAUACUCGAUGUUAGCGAUAUACAGUUAGCGUCAAAGCGAAAGCGUUAAGUAUUCCACCUGGGGAGUACGCCCGCAAGGGUG